AGUGAACGCUGGCGGUAGGCCUAACACAUGCAAGUCGAACGGCAGCACAGUAAGAGCUUGCUCUUACGGGUGGCGAGUGGCGGACGGGUGAGGAAUACAUCGGAAUCUACUUUUUCGUGGGGGAUAACGUAGGGAAACUUACGCUAAUACCGCAUACGACCUACGGUUGAAAGCAGGGGAUCUUCGGACCUUGCGCGAUUGAAUGAGCCGAUGUCGGAUUAGCUAGUUGGCGGGGUAAAGGCCCACCAAGGCGACGAUCCGUAGCUGGUCUGAGAGGAUGAUCAGCCACACUGGAACUGAGACACGGUCAAGACCACUACGGGAGGCAGCAGUGGGGAAUAUUGGACAAUGGGCGCAAGCCUGAUCCAGCCAUACCGCGUGGGUGAAGAAGGCCUUCGGGUUGUAAAGCCCUUUUGUUGGGAAAGAAAAGCAGCAGGUUAAUACCCCGCUGUUCUGACGGUACCCAAAGAAUAAGCACCGGCUAACUUCGUG
This 492-nucleotide ribosomal RNA is filed under the name uncultured bacterium. Its description in RNAcentral is "partial 16S ribosomal RNA". It matches the Rfam family "Bacterial small subunit ribosomal RNA", at positions 29 to 507 of the family's 1533-position model. The record is from RNAcentral.